Molecule: ribosomal RNA, 551 nt
Filed under: uncultured Aerococcus sp.
Lineage: Bacteria; Bacillati; Bacillota; Bacilli; Lactobacillales; Aerococcaceae
Description: bacterial SSU rRNA
Rfam family: Bacterial small subunit ribosomal RNA
Source: RNAcentral
UAGGGAAUCUUCCGCAAUGGGCGAAAGCCUGACGGAACAAUGCCGCGUGAGUGAAGAAGGCCUUCGGGUCGUACAACUCUGUUAUAAGAGAAGAACAAAUUGUAGAGUAACUGCUACAGUCUUGACGGUAUCUUAUCAGAAAGCCACGGCUAACUACGUGCCAGCAGCCGCGGUAAUACGUAGGUGGCAAGCGUUGUCCGGAUUUAUUGGGCGUAAAGGGAGCGCAGGUGGUUUCUUAAGUCUGAUGUGAAAGCCCACGGCUUAACCGUGGAGGGUCAUUGGAAACUGGGAAACUUGAGUACAGAAGAGGAAUGUGGAACUCCAUGUGUAGCGGUGGAAUGCGUAGAUAUAUGGAAGAACACCAGUGGCGAAGGCGACAUUCUGGUCUGUUACUGACACUGAGGCUCGAAAGCGUGGGGAGCAAACAGGAUUAGAUACCCUGGUAGUCCACGCCGUAAACGAUGAGUGCUAGGUGUUGGAGGGUUUCCGCCCUUCAGUGCCGCAGUUAACGCAUUAAGCACUCCGCCUGGGGAGUACGACCGCAAGGUUGA